Zalophus californianus (California sea lion) is the source of this 5741-nucleotide long non-coding RNA. RefSeq lists it as uncharacterized. The transcript has 6 exons. NCBI's taxonomy places the organism in Eukaryota, Metazoa, Chordata, Mammalia, Carnivora, Otariidae. The record is from RefSeq and is a predicted model, not a curated record.
GCCAGUCCCUCAAGCCCUUGGAGGCAUCCUCUCUCUAUCUGGGAACCCAGGGCCCCUUCCUCAGGCUAGCCCAUCCCCCCAUAGCCAGUGCCGGUCUGGGUUGGCUCUGGGAGGGUAACCCAGAGGUUGUGUGGCCCCACGGGAGGGGCCUGGGCCCCUAGGACCCACAGGAGUGUUGUUACCGGCUUAGGGUCCAGCCUCCUGAGCCACACUGCCUGGGUCUUAGGCACUGAGACCAGAGCCAGCAGGACAGCUCACAGGACAGCCUCAUCCUUGCAGUACAGUUUCCUGACGCAACAUUUGAGGAGACAAAGAUGAAAGAAGAGAAUCACAGCAGAAGAGAGAUAAGGGAAGCAGACCCACCAAUGCUCCCUGCGUUGGAAUUACAAGGCAGGCUCUCGUAGUCCACUUGGGCUGAUAUCACAAAAAUACCACACACUGGGUGGCUUAUAAACAACAGGCAUUUAUUUCUCAGUUCUGGUAGCGAAAAGUUCUAGUCAGGGUGCUAGCAGGGUCAAGGAGGGCCUCUUGUGGGUCACAGACCUCUCACAGUGUCCUCAUGGUGGAAGGGGUAGGGAAGUUCUGCUGUGGGGUCUCUUUCAUAAGGGCAUGGAUUCCAUUCAAGAGGCUCCACCGUCAUGACCUAGUCCCCUUCCAAGGGCUCACUUCCCAGUGCGAUCGUACUGGGGGCUAGGACGUCAACAUGAGUAUUGGGGGUAGACACACACAUCAGGACCACACAGAUUGUGAAAACAGCUAUGAUCACCUUGCUUAACAAGAUGGGAGCCACAUUGAAAUUUUAUGGUAUUUUUGCAAUUCUCAUAAUACAGCUGGAAACCAUAAAAAGUGGUAUAGAUAAAAGACAUCUGUGUAACCCAAAAUAAUCUUACAGAUUGCAGAUUUGGAGAAAAAUAUAUACAGUAGGCUCUCAUGAGCCAGAAUGCACAGGUUGUUCUACAAAGGAGACAUCUUAAAUCCUGGGAAAAAAUUGAUUUUGGGCAAUAAAUCCGGACAACUAGAUAUCCAUUUAGAAGAAGAUUAAGAUGAAGCAUAUUCACCUCAUGCAUGGGAAUAAACAUGAAAUGGAUCAGAAAUCUCAAUGCUAAACAUGGAAAUGGAAUCAUAUGAGUAACAAAAGAAAUCACUGGUGGGUUUCUGUAUGAUGUGGAUGGAAGGAAAUGCUUUCUAAUUGUAUCAGAUUUCACUCCUGAAGGCGGAACCAUCAGGAGGCAUAUAGAUUCACAAAUAAGGGGUUUGUGGCAGGAGGUUGACCUCACAUCACUGUAGGAGCUCAUUUCACAGGCCCCGUAAGGCUUUUGUCUUCUGGGGAUUCUGGGCAAUGUCAUGCAGCCCAGGCAGAUCAAGCCACUACAAACCCAUAGGCCACACUAACUAUGCAUAAAAUCCAGAUGUAAUAAAAGAAAGUACUGAUAAAUAACUUGACUAUAUUUUUAAAUUUUUUAUAGCAAAAAUAAAGCCAUAAACAAAGUCAAAAGAUGAGUGACAAGUCUGGAGAAAAUAUUUCCAACACAGAUCACAUGCAAGGGCUAAUAGCCAUACUCUACCAAAACUUUUAGAAAUUAAAGAAAAACAGGGCUGAAAACGCAUCACAAAAAAAGGACAAUGACAUAACCAGAUAAUUCACACGAAAAAGUUAAAAUGACCCCUAAACAUGAAAAGAUGUUUCUUAUGAAUUGCAUUCCACCAACCCCCCGCCCCCACCAAUUUCUAUGCUGAGGUCCUGACCCCAGAACCUUAGAAUAUGACUCUGUUCAGACAUGGAGGCUUUUAAAGAGUUAGUUAAGUCCAAAUGAGAUUGUUCAGUUUAAACGUACCUGGGGUCCUUAUCAGAAGAGAUUAAGGUACACACACACACACACACACACACACACACACACACACACACACACACACUCAACUGGGGCGACCAUGUGGGGACAUGGGGAAAAGAUGGCUAUGUACACACCAAGGAGAGAGGCCUUGGGAGGAACUGGCCCUGCCACACCUGGAUCUGACUCCAGCCUCCAGAGCUGGGAGAGAAUACACCUCUGAUGUUUAAGUCUGUGGUGCUUUGUAAUGGCAGCCCUGGUGAAUGGAUACAAUGUUCAUUUUCAUUCACAGUAAGAAAAUGCAAAUUAAAACAAUGCGGAGAUGUCAUUUAUCACCUAUCAUCCUGCCAAAAAUUGCAGAGCUUAGCCACACCACCCACAAUUUGGCUACACGAGCAUGCCCAUGCACUGCCUGUCAGACUGCAAAUGGUACCAUCAUUACAAAGGGGAAUGUGGCAACAUCUAACAAAACUUAACUACCUGCCCGUUUGUCUUUUGUUCUAGAAAUCCCACUCACAGGAAUCUAUCCUAAGGAAGUACCUGAGACAAUACAAACUAUAUAUACACACAGUGGUUACUCAGUAAAGCAUUGUUUGUGAUAGAAAACUGUUGGAAGUUGGCUAGGUGCCCACAUCCAGGAGACUGUUUGAAUCAAAGAUGGUGUACCCACAAACAGUCCUAUGCAGCUAUAAAAGAAUAACCCGAAGGUCUCUGUGAACCAACAUGGGGUGAGUGCUAGGACAUGAAGGUGUAUUGUAAAGUGGAAAAAGCCAAGUGCCAAAGGGCAUGUGAAGCACACAGCCUUCUAGGUGAGACAGAAAGGAUGAUAAGGAAAUGUACGUUGUCUGCCUAUUUCUGCAAGAAGAAACACAGGAAGGAUAAAUCGGAGUCUAAAGAGCUUCGUCACCCACAGGGGUAGGCUGGGGAGGAAGUUAGACCCCCUCCCCACAGCAUACCUUCUUUUAUGUUGUUGUUUUUUUCCAGAUUCAUUUAUUUAUUUUAGAAGAGGAGAGAGAGAGAGCAGGGGGAGGGGGAGAGGGACUGGGAGAGAGAAUCUUCCAGCUGACUCCCUGAUGAGCUUGGAGGAGCCCGGCAUGGGGCUCCAUCCCAGGACCGUGAGAUCCUGACCUGAGCCGAAGGCAGACGCUUUAACCGACUGAGCCACCCAGGUGUCCCCACCCUUCACCCUUUUCUGUUACAGGCUUUAUGAUAUUUACAUUUAACAGUUAAUAUGUAGAUUCAGUAAAAGUUAAGCUUCUGUCACUUUAAGCUGUACCAGUCAAAGGUACUUCCUCAGGCUCCUUGCAUGAGCUCAGGCUUGGGUCAGAUUGACCUGGGUUCAAACCCACAGCAGGGCCAUGUCACAGCCCUGUGACAGGAACCUCCUAUGGGAACUCUUGGAAACAUGCCUGGGGCCAUGGUGUGGGGAGGAGUAACUUGCCAGGCUGAAGGCCAGGGGUCCCCACGAUGCCCAAAGGGCUGCCAUAGGCAUCCACAUUCUAGAGACAGACCCCUACUCCCUUCAAUUGGCUAGAGAUGCUCCAAUGAUCAAACUGUUCUCCCGCUGUAUCCCUACAUGCUGAGGAUGUGGUAGAAAAGCCAACAGUGAGAGCCAUUUCCUACACUGCAGACCGGAGUCAGGUCUCACCCCUGACAUCUCUGGCCAUUUGCCUGGAGGUACCCAAAGGUAACAAGGGAGGCCCAGAGCCAGCCAGGCCAGUCAGACACUGCUGUGAUCCGACUGUGCAGCCCAGCUCUCCUCGUGUGUGUGUGUGUGUGUGUGUGUGUGUGUGUGUGUGUGUGUGUACAGGGGUCUCAUGCAGGGUGAUGAUGGGUCCGAUGCCCGGUGGGUGGAUCAUGCUCACACCCCAGGUCAAGGCUGGCUGGGUGCGAUGGGGUGUGGGGGGCUGGGAGCUUCUGCUCAGGGUUUAUCCCGAGAGCUCCACAGGUAUGGGUCACUGUCUGGGGUGUUGGGCUAUGCACGCACAGGUGUGUGUCUGAUCUGGGAGCAACAGGGGGACUGGACAGUGUGACAGUGAGGACGGCCGGGCAGGGCUGUGAUGCCUCCGGGCCGGCUACCCCUCACUGUCUUUGCAGUAGUCAACGGAUGUAAUGGACUAGAGGAUGGCAGACACCCACUCCAUCUCUAUGACCUGGGGCGUGACCCCAUAGGGCUGUCCAGGAGCAGGAGCUGAGUAUUGCCGGGGAAGGCCUCUGACAUCACCCAGACCACUGUCUGUGGUAGUCGUUCAGUAGAUUGUGCUCCAGGAGCCAGAGCCCAUGGAGGCCAACCCCGAGGCUGAGAAGCCUGGGGCAGGGUGCCUGUGGGUGUGUGGGGAAGGGUCGGGGCUGGCCCCACAGCGAGGAGCCCACAGAACCUGGUGUGGGUCCUGGAGCAAAGACUGGGCUCAGAGCGCCCAGCGGGUGGACUGCAGUCGGGGAGACGUCCCGGGGAGGGUUCCUUCCUACCUGGGGCAUCUCUGGGAGACUCUGGGCUGUGCACGCACAGGUGUGUGUCUGAUCUGGGAGCAGCAAGGGGACUGACUGGGCAGGGGGACAGUGAGGUUGGCUGGGCAGGGUUUGAUGCGUCCGGGCCGGCUACCUGUUCCUGUCUUUGCAGAAGUCAACGGGUGAAACCAGCUGGAGGUUGGCGGAUAGCCGUUACAUAUCCAGGACCUAGGGUGUGACCCCACAGGGUUCCCCAGAAAUAGGUGCUGGGGAUUGCCGGGAAGGCCUCCAACAUCACCCAGACCACUGUCCGCGGUAGUCAUUUACUGGAUUGUGCUGCAGGAGCCGGAGCCCAUGGAGGCUGAGCCUCAGAGCCCCGUGGAAGCUGGCCUGGCUUCUGUCCCUGCACCUGGCUCCUGACACAUGCUAGAGAUGCAGAUGGAGUCGCUCUAGCUCCUCAGAUGGUGGAGCAGCUGAGAAAGGAGAAGAAGAGCUCAGCCCGUGCCUGCUCUCCGUGGGCCUUUGCAAGACAGAGCCCAGCCCAGGGCCUCCCAGAGAAGCUGAAGCCAGGAAGGAGCCCUCCCCGGGACGUCUCCCCGACUUCCGUCCACCCGCUUGGUGCCCAGUCUUUGCUCCUGCCCCCACACCAGCCUCUGGGGCUCCUCCCUGUGGGGCCAGCCCUGACCCUUCCCCUCACACCCACAGGCACCCACCUCCGGUCUUCUCAUCCUCAGGGUCAGCCUGCGUCGGCUCUGCGUGCUCCAACUGGGCCAUCAGAAGGUGGGCAUGGCGCUCCAGGUCAGAACCGGGCAUGUUGAGCUGCACAUGGGCCACCAGCUGCUUGAGGCAGGGAACGUCCGGGCUGACAGAAGUCCUCUGAGUACUGGUCCAGCCAGGUGCCCAGAAUGGAGGAGAUGGCCCUGGAGGGCCCGUCAUCCUUUGGACAAUGAGAGCAGAGGGAUCCCCAUCUAGAGGAGGCCGGCAGGGCGUCCCACGCAACGUCCUGUGCCCAUCUCUGCUUUGUCGUCUAGGGUUACCGGUGGACCUCCACCUAGAACAGAGGCCCACGGGGCAGGGCCGGGGGCCAGCCCCACUCCCGCCAGGCAGGGCCGCUGGACCGAGUGGACAUGGAGACCUGGGGACUAGAGAGAAAUGAAGUAUACCCCCCACCUUGCCGUCCUGGCCGCCACGUUCCACUCCAGUGUUCGUCCAGCACCCCGUCUCCCCAAGUUCCGGCCCUCGAACACUUUCAUCUCCCUGCUUUAAUCCCCAACACAUCCUCCUGAGGUGGGAGUCACUGACACCAUCUUCAAAGUAGAAAACGGAGGUCCCAAGAGUUCCCAUAGGAGCUUGCCAGUCACAGGGCUGUGACAUGGCCCUGCUGUUAGUUUGAUCCAGAUCAGUCCGACCCAAAACCUGAGCUUCCAGAGGAGCCUGAGGAAGUAGCCUUUGAGCCCAGGCUUG